RNAcentral lists this ribosomal RNA (820 nucleotides) under Salmonella enterica subsp. enterica serovar Typhimurium. Its description in RNAcentral is "partial 23S ribosomal RNA". It matches the Rfam family "Bacterial large subunit ribosomal RNA", at positions 566 to 1248 of the family's 2925-position model. Lineage: Bacteria; Pseudomonadati; Pseudomonadota; Gammaproteobacteria; Enterobacterales; Enterobacteriaceae. The record is from RNAcentral.
CGCAUCCUUUGCUGAGGAUACGGUUAACGGAGCGAAAGCGACGUUCAACCGCAAAACAAGCAGAGGGGGCUUAGUGGUGGGGUGACUGCGUACCUUUUGUAUAAUGGGUCAGCGACUUAUAUUCUGUAGCAAGGUUAACCGAAUAGGGGAGCCGGAGGGAAACCGAGUCUUAAUUGGGCGUUAAGUUGCAGGGUAUAGACCCGAAACCCGGUGAUCUAGCCAUGGGCAGGUUGAAGGUUGGGUAACACUAACUGGAGGACCGAACCGACUAAUGUUGAAAAAUUAGCGGAUGACCUGUGGCUGGGGGUGAAAGGCCAAUCAAACCGGGAGAUAGCUGGUUCUCCCCGAAAGCUAUUUAGGUAGCGCCUCGUGAAUUCAUCUCCGGGGGUAGAGCACUGUUUCGGCUAGGGGGCCAUCCCGGCUUACCAACCCGAUGCAAACUGCGAAUACCGGAGAAUGUUAUCACGGGAGACACACGGCGGGUGCUAACGUCCGUCGUGAAGAGGGAAACAACCCAGACCGCCAGCUAAGGUCCCAAAGUCAUGGUUAAGUGGGAAACGAUGUGGGAAGGCCCAGACAGCCAGGAUGUUGGCUUAGAAGCAGCCAUCAUUUAAAGAAAGCGUAAUAGCUCACUGGUCGAGUCGGCCUGCGCGGAAGAUGUAACGGGGCUAAACCAUGCACCGAAGCUGCGGCAGCGAACGUAUCACCCAAGACAACUUUACGGAGUUGACGAUUGACGGAGCGAAGCGACGUCAAAGCGUUCAUUAAAGUCGAGUUGGCUUAGGGAUACGUUCGUUGGGUAGGGGAGCGUUCUGUAAGC